UACGUAGGGGGCAAGCGUUGUCCGGAAUGACUGGGCGUAAAGGGUGCGUAGGUGGUUUCUUAAGUCAGAGGUGAAAGGCUACGGCUCAACCGUAGUAAGCCUUUGAAACUGGGAAACUUGAGUGCAGGAGAGGAGAGUGGAAUUCCUAGUGUAGCGGUGAAAUGCGUAGAUAUUAGGAGGAACACCAGUUGCGAAGGCGGCUCUCUGGACUGUAACUGACACUGAGGCACGAAAGCGUGGGGAGCAAACAGGAUUAGAUACCCCGGUAGUCCCUGAG
Molecule: ribosomal RNA, 277 nt
Filed under: uncultured prokaryote
Description: partial 16S ribosomal RNA
Rfam family: Bacterial small subunit ribosomal RNA
Source: RNAcentral